RNAcentral lists this ribosomal RNA (483 nucleotides) under Ilyonectria sp. RNAcentral's name for it is "eukaryotic LSU rRNA". The stretch from base 106 to 259 matches the Rfam family "5.8S ribosomal RNA". The record is from RNAcentral. Lineage: Eukaryota; Fungi; Ascomycota; Sordariomycetes; Hypocreales; Nectriaceae.
ACCUAUUUGUUGCCUCGGCGGUGCCUGUUCCGACAGCCCGCCAGAGGACCCCAAACCCUGAUUACAUUUAAGAAGUCUUCUGAGUAAACCGAUUAAAUAAAUCAAAACUUUCAACAACGGAUCUCUUGGUUCUGGCAUCGAUGAAGAACGCAGCGAAAUGCGAUAAGUAAUGUGAAUUGCAGAAUUCAGUGAAUCAUCGAAUCUUUGAACGCACAUUGCGCCCGCUAGUAUUCUGGCGGGCAUGCCUGUCCGAGCGUCAUUUCAACCCUCAAGCCCCCGGGCUUGGUGUUGGGGAUCGGCGAGCCUCCGCGCCCGCCGUCCCCUAAAUCUAGUGGCGGUCUCGCUGUAGCUUCCUCUGCGUAGUAGCACACCUCGCACUGGGAAACAGCGCGGCCACGCCGUUAAACCCCCAACUUCUGAACGUUUGACCUCGGAUCAGGUAGGAAUACCCGCUGAACUUAAGCAUAUCAAUAAGCGGAGGAA